This 200-nucleotide ribosomal RNA is filed under the name uncultured bacterium. RNAcentral describes it as "partial 16S ribosomal RNA". It matches the Rfam family "Bacterial small subunit ribosomal RNA", at positions 8 to 224 of the family's 1533-position model. The record is from RNAcentral.
AGAGUUUGAUCCUGGCUCAGGAUAAACGCUGGCGGCGUGCCUAACACAUGCAAGUCGUACGCCCUCUGGCAACAGAGGGAGUGGCGGACGGGUGAGUAACACGUGGGUGCACCUACCCCAAAGUAAGGAAUACCGGCGAGAAAUCGCCGACAAUACCGUAUACGUUCCGUAAGGAGCAAAGCCCGCAAGGGCGCUUUGGG